RNAcentral lists this ribosomal RNA (267 nucleotides) under uncultured bacterium. Its description in RNAcentral is "partial small subunit ribosomal RNA". It matches the Rfam family "Bacterial small subunit ribosomal RNA", at positions 26 to 287 of the family's 1533-position model. The record is from RNAcentral.
AGAGUGAACGCUGGCGGCAGGCCUAACACAUGCAAGUCGAGCGGCAGCGCGGGAGUAGCAAUGCUUCUGGCGGCGAGCGGCGGACGGGUGAGGAACACAUCGGAAUCUACCCUGUCGUGGGGGACAACGUAGGGAAACUUACGCUAAUACCGCAUACGACCUUUGGGUGAAAGUGGGGGACUCGCAAGAGCCUCACGCGAUUGGAUGAGCCGAUGUCCGAUUAGCUAGUUGGCGGGGUAAUGGCCCACCAAGGCUUCGACGGGUAGC